This 405-nucleotide long non-coding RNA is filed under the name Apteryx owenii (little spotted kiwi). RNAcentral describes it as "lncRNA (ENSAOWG00000006836.1)". Lineage: Eukaryota; Metazoa; Chordata; Aves; Apterygiformes; Apterygidae. The record is from RNAcentral.
GGCAGACUGCUGACUUCCAUGUAAGCAGAACUGCAGCACAUUUUGCCCUUUGGCCAGAAGAUGGAGAAUGAGUACUGUUAAGUAUUUGAGAAUGUGGGAGAAUAAACUCUUUGCCCCAUUUUGUUUUGCUGCUUUGUCACUUUGAAACCAAUCCUCAUUGCUUUUGAUCAAAAAGGAACCUGAAUGCCAGACUGGUUCAGAACAGCUUCUUCUCACUCAAGGCAAGGUGCUUUCUUUACAGGAGGUAUACCAGUCCAAACUGUGAAAGAUGAGAAGGAAUUAAAAGCUGAAAAAUGGAACUUGGCAGAAUUCCAGAGGAAGUAUCUUUGCAAGCACAGAUAAUAGAUGAGCCAACCUGACAGUCUCUCUGUUGGUGCAGGUGAGAUGCAUUAUAAACCUGGGGGU